This 775-nucleotide ribosomal RNA is filed under the name Ceutorhynchus albosuturalis. Its description in RNAcentral is "12S ribosomal RNA". The record is from RNAcentral. Lineage: Eukaryota; Metazoa; Arthropoda; Insecta; Coleoptera; Curculionidae.
AAAAAGUGUUUUUAGCUUGAUUUUACUAUAUAAUAUCCCUUUAAAUGCAAAUUUCAGUGUGAAAGAUCAAAUUUAGAUAGUUUAUUUUUAAAUGUAUCGCAGUAAAUAAAAUUAUUUAUUUAAGCAAUUAAGAUAUAGUGAUUAUUUUUAGUACAGACUAAGUUUGUGCCAGCAGUCGCGGUUACACAAAUUGUACUAUAGUAGAUUUAUUGGUACUAGCGUAUAUUAAAUAUAAUUUAUAUUAAAUUUUAUUAAGUGAAAUUUUAAAAUUUUGUAAAUUUGAAUUUUGGUUGUUAAGCUGAUAAAUUUUUUUUAAAAAACUAGGAUUAGAUACCCUAUUAUUAAUAAAAUAAAUUUUAGUGCCUAAUUAGUAUUAGAUAUAAUCUUGAAAAUUAAAAAAGUUGGCGGUAUUUUAGUCUAUUCAGAGGAACCUGUUCUAUAAUUGAUAGUCCACGAUUAAAAUUACUUACGUUCAUAUUUACAUAUCGUCGUAGAUUGAAUAUUUUUAUAGAAUUUAUUAAUAUUCAAAAUUUUUGUAAAAAAAAUAAUUCAGAUCAAGGUGUAGUUUAUACGUGAGAAGAAAUGGGUUAUAAUAAAUUUAUUUAAACGAAUGAAUUUUUUUUCAAAAAUUUUUAAGGUGGAUUUGAAAGUAAUUUUAAAUAUAUUUUUAAAAUGAUUUUAGCUCUAAAAUAUGUACAUAUUGCCCGUCGCUUUCAUUCCAAGGUGAAAUAAGUCGUAACAAAGUAGGGGUACCGGAAGGUGUUCCUAGAAGUUC